GGCAGCUGCUGACACCGGAGGUGGGGGGUAGGGGGCCGUCCAACAGCACCCGGCACCUCGGCACCCCCUCCCCCACAAACUGCAGUUUCCCACUUCUCCAAUUAUUUUUAGCCCCGAGUACUAAGCGAUCGUCCUACGCGGUUACUUCCUUCCUGCCCCGGCUAGCCUCGUCCCCUUUCCCCAGCCCCUGGCGGCACAGCACGCCUCACAGCUGGGGGCACCCGGCGGGGAUUCCCCGCCUGCACUGACACCUCACCCGCCGCGGGGGUCAAACCUCUCCUCAAAAAAACUUCUCCCACACAAGACACCCCCCACCCUUCCCCAGCCCCCUAGAAGCAUCCACCACCGCCCCCCGACAGGACAGGCUCCGCUCCCAGACGCCACCCUCACACAGACCUCCAUUCCCGCUCGCGUCCGUCCCGAGCCAAGUCCGGAGAGAAACUUGGCAUCAUUCAAAGCAUUGCAUGAUUUCCCAAAAGCAAUCCAGCCUAGUCUUUUGCUUCUAAUCAAUUCUGGGUCCAGCUCUAGAAGUUAUGUAAUUGCAUAUCAGAGCCUAGAUACAAGCACUCUUUAUCCACAUGAUUGUUCCUGUGUGGAUAGCUAAGCUGAACAAUUUUGAGUGGUGAUGGAUCUCUUGUAGAAGAAGGUUCUGCAGUGUUCCAGAGCUUGGUUCUGUUAGUACAAUGACAUUCACAAGCAGGACCACUUAAGGAACCUCACCAUCUAUAGGCUUAAAGACGUCAAAGACAAAAAGAAAUGUCCCAUAUAUGGCAAAAUAUUUCUGGUUAACGCUCUUUGUAGCGGCAAAGAACUAGAAACAAAAUAAAUGCCCAUUGAAUGAAGAAUGACUAAACAAAUUGUGGUAU
This is a non-coding RNA of Phascolarctos cinereus (koala), 866 nucleotides long. The record is from RefSeq and is a predicted model, not a curated record. Lineage: Eukaryota; Metazoa; Chordata; Mammalia; Diprotodontia; Phascolarctidae.